ACUCCUACGGGAGGCAGCAGUGAGGAAUAUUGGACAAUGGGUGAGAGCCUGAUCCAGCCAUCCCGCGUGAAGGACGACGGCCCUAUGGGUUGUAAACUUCUUUUGUACAGGGAUAAACCUUUCCACGUGUGGAAAGCUGAAGGUACUGUACGAAUAAGCACCGGCUAACUCCGUGCCAGCAGCCGCGGUAAUACGGAGGGUGCAAGCGUUAUCCGGAUUUAUUGGGUUUAAAGGGUCCGUAGGCGGAUCUGUAAGUCAGUGGUGAAAUCUCAUAGCUUAACUAUGAAACUGCCAUUGAUACUGCAGGUCUUGAGUAAGGUAGAAGUAGCUGGAAUAAGUAGUGUAGCGGUGAAAUGCAUAGAUAUUACUUAGAACACCAAUUGCGAAGGCAGGUUACUAUGUCUUAACUGACGCUGAUGGACGAAAGCGUGGGGAGCGAG
This 440-nucleotide ribosomal RNA is filed under the name uncultured bacterium. RNAcentral describes it as "bacterial SSU rRNA". It matches the Rfam family "Bacterial small subunit ribosomal RNA", at positions 335 to 772 of the family's 1533-position model. The record is from RNAcentral.